GUGCUAAUAUUGGAUAAUGUGUAAUGUGAUAUAAUUGAAUACAUUUAUAUAAUUGAUAUACAUUGAUAUUUGAUAUCUUCUUCUAUAAAAUCGGUCAUGGACUUCAGUGCUUUGUGUUCAGCUGCACUCCAAACACCACCAACACAUAAAACAAAUGAAUAAUAAAAAAAUGAAAAUAUGUUCAAGUUUUUUUGUGUCUUCUCAGUGUAUACCGCUGUAUCAUAAAACACCAGGACACACUAAAGUUUACCACUGCUGUCUGUCAAUAUCUGAACAUAACAAACCAAGUAAUGUUGUAUUUUAAAUGGAGGUUUUCUACUUCAGAGUUUAUGAUUUAUACAGUUCAUAAAUUAUGAUUUUUUUUUUCUGGGAGACAAACAAAUGGCUGGACUUCCAGUGAAAGGAGUACAGCUGACCAUUAAAAGCUACAGGUUCAGAGUUACUCUCUAGUUUUACAGUUCCUGAAAUGAGAGUGUGCUACUUUUCUAAUCUUGUUUUGAAUCUUCCUCUCACUUCUGGUUCCUGGGCCUGCAGUUUCAAACUGACAGGACGAGUCGGCAGACGGCAGAGCCAACCCUCCCUGCUGUUUCAUGUGGCUUUGCCCAUAGGCAGGGACAUUACGAGUAUGCAGGCUGCCAGCUGCACACUCAUUCAUCCCCAUCUGUGAGUUUGGAAUUAUCAAAGACACAAAGAGUCUGUGCAAACACUGAAAUACACUAACACCAUAUUCUAUAAAACAUCUAACUCUGAAUAAGGCUGAAUUAGUGCAAUUAGUGUGGUGGAGAGUAAAGAUGGCAUCUUCCAGCAGAGGGAUCUGAGGAAUAUGGUCUUCUUGGUCCUCCUAAUAUACUGCUCUGUGUUGGUCUGUGUCUGUUGGAUGACAUAACAUCUGAUUUCUCACCUCUGAUGAUACAGAGGUGUAUCUGCUGAGUAAACGCUGUAGUAAAAAUAUGCAGAAGAAAUGAAAUCAAUAUCCUGCACCUUUGUGUUUCUGUUUGGAUAUAUAAUAUUGAUUUUAACUCCAGUUGUUUGACUUUUGAUUUUCCCAUCAGUGUCCACAUUAUUGAAGCUAAGUUGGUUUUGGAGAUAGAGGAGCAGAGUUUAAGUGAAGGGAUGGCGCUGUCAUUGGUCCCUGAUAGACUGAGCGCACUCUAGUGGAUGAUCAGAGUAAUUGCAGCUGUUUUUUAAACUAAUUUCAACAGGACUAAUGAUAUUUCUGCUAGAAAUCUGGUACUGAAUGCACUGACAGAAAUGAAUGAGCAUUUAUAUGGAAGUCUGUUGUAUCAUUUUGGUGAAUUCAAAGUUGCAAUUUUUUGAGGCAUCAAAUUCAAAAUGAGUGAAUAUUUGCAAAAAACAAU
Molecule: non-coding RNA, 1358 nt
Organism: Xyrichtys novacula (pearly razorfish)
Lineage: Eukaryota; Metazoa; Chordata; Actinopteri; Labriformes; Labridae
Source: the annotation of a GenBank genome assembly